GAAACACAAUAGGUUGCCUCUACACAAGAUGGAAUAAUCAACUUCACUUUUAUAUGCAGUUUUCUGCACAGUGGCUAACAGGACCCCUCCCAGUCUGUCUGUAUGUCUGGAACGAAAAGGCCUCUCCCCAUCUGUCUGCAAGAAUACCUGCUCACGAGCGGUUGACAGUGGAAAAUGUUAUGCCCUCAUCAUCAUCCUCUUCACAACAACAUGGAAUAUUCCCCAGCUGGAACAGUGGAAGCUGGAUUCCUCAGCAAAGUGAGGAGGAAGUGAUGACGCAGGAAGGUGUCAUCGCUCAGGCUGCUGUCAAAACCCACAGCAGAUGACCCAAGUUUCGCAUGUUUCUUCUACCUCAGCACAGGCUGACAGAAAUAUGUUUUCCACCCUCAGCAGGAGUGAAUCAGAGUAAAAAACGCAAAAGGUUUAAAAUAGUUAUGUGGUGGCGAAACCAUGACGUCCAUUUGGGAAUUACAACAAUGCAAAUGACAUUGCUGUUCUCAGCAGGCUCAGUUAUCCCCACCAAAAAAGCAUUUUUUGUUGUCACUUAACUUACAUAACUUUAAUUAUUCAUUAUUUUAAUGUUAAAGGCCCAGGGUUUAAGAAUGAGUGACUUCUAAUGGUGAGACUCCCUUUAAGUGCAUGAAGGUGUUCUUCAUUUGUGUACAUACUAAUGAGUGAUAUAUUCAAUUUAUGCUAUUAAAACCAUUCUAAAUGUUA
Molecule: long non-coding RNA, 717 nt
Organism: Solea senegalensis (Senegalese sole)
Lineage: Eukaryota; Metazoa; Chordata; Actinopteri; Pleuronectiformes; Soleidae
Exons: 3
Source: RefSeq, a predicted model, not a curated record